RNAcentral lists this ribosomal RNA (253 nucleotides) under uncultured bacterium. RNAcentral's name for it is "partial 16S ribosomal RNA". It matches the Rfam family "Bacterial small subunit ribosomal RNA", at positions 524 to 776 of the family's 1533-position model. The record is from RNAcentral.
CACGUAGGGCGCGAGCGUUGUCCGGAAUUAUUGGGCGUAAAGAGCUCGUAGGCGGCCUGUUGCGUCCGCUGUGAAAGCCCGGGGCUUAACCCCGGGUCGGCAGUGGAUACGGGCAGGCUAGAGGUAGGUAGGGGAGACUGGAAUUCCUGGUGUAGCGGUGAAAUGCGCAGAUAUCAGGAGGAACACCGGUGGCGAAGGCGGGUCUCUGGGCCGAUAUUGACGCUGAGGAGCGAAAGCGUGGGGAGCGAACAGG